AGCUUUGCGCAGUGGCAGUAUCGUAGCCAAUGAGGUUAAUCCGAGGCGCGAUUAUUGCUAGUUGAAAACUUUUCCCAAUACCCCGCCAUGACGACUUGAAAUAUAGUCGGCAUUGGCAAUUUUUGACAGUCUCAUGUGAGA
RNAcentral lists this small nuclear RNA (141 nucleotides) under Chrysemys picta bellii (western painted turtle). Its description in RNAcentral is "U4 spliceosomal RNA (ENSCPBG00000011361.1)". It matches the Rfam family "U4 spliceosomal RNA". From Rfam's summary of the family: U4 small nuclear RNA (U4 snRNA) is a component of the major U2-dependent spliceosome. The structure of U4 snRNA from yeast and human has been reported. U4 snRNA presents a k-turn RNA motif in the 5p-SL related to recognition of Snu13 protein. Lineage: Eukaryota; Metazoa; Chordata; Testudines; Emydidae. The record is from Rfam by way of RNAcentral.